RNAcentral lists this ribosomal RNA (253 nucleotides) under uncultured bacterium. RNAcentral's name for it is "partial 16S ribosomal RNA". It matches the Rfam family "Bacterial small subunit ribosomal RNA", at positions 524 to 776 of the family's 1533-position model. The record is from RNAcentral.
UACGAAGGGGGCUAGCGUUGCUCGGAAUCACUGGGCGUAAAGCGCACGUAGGCGGCUUUUUAAGUCAGGGGUGAAAUCCUGGAGCUCAACUCCAGAACUGCCUUUGAUACUGGGAAGCUCGAGUGCGGGAGAGGUGAGUGGAAUUCCCAGUGUAGAGGUGAAAUUCGUAGAUAUUGGGAAGAACACCAGUGGCGAAGGCGGCUCACUGGCCCGGUACUGACGCUCAUGUGCGAAAGCGUGGGGAGCAAACAGG